Molecule: ribosomal RNA, 2481 nt
Filed under: Salmonella enterica subsp. enterica serovar Chester
Lineage: Bacteria; Pseudomonadati; Pseudomonadota; Gammaproteobacteria; Enterobacterales; Enterobacteriaceae
Description: partial 23S ribosomal RNA
Rfam family: Bacterial large subunit ribosomal RNA
Source: RNAcentral
UGAAUAUGGGGGGACCAUCCUCCAAGGCUAAAUACUCCUGACUGACCGAUAGUGAACCAGUACCGUGAGGGAAAGGCGAAAAGAACCCCGGCGAGGGGAGUGAAAAAGAACCUGAAACCGUGUACGUACAAGCAGUGGGAGCCCCACCACUAAGCCAGUGGUGAACUCCACAUACGCAUCCUUUGCUGAGGAUACGGUUAACGGAGCGAAAGCGACGUUCAACCGCAAAAGAAGCAGAGGGGGCUUAGUGGUGGGGUGACUGCGUACCUUUUGUAUAAUGGGUCAGCGACUUAUAUUCUGUAGCAAGGUUAACCGUAUAGGGGAGCCGGAGGGAAACCGAGUCUUAAUUGGGCGUUAAGUUGCAGGGUAUAGACCCGAAACCCGGUGAUCUAGCCAUGGGCAGGUUGAAGGUUGGGUAACACUAACUGGAGGACCGAACCGACUAAUGUUGAAAAAUUAGCGGAUGACCUGUGGCUGGGGGUGAAAGGCCAAUCAAACCGGGAGAUAGCUGGUUCUCCCCGAAAGCUAUUUAGGUAGCGCCUCGUGAAUUCAUCUCCGGGGGUAGAGCACUGUUUCGGCUAGGGGGCCAUCCCGGCUUACCAACCCGAUGCAAACUGCGAAUACCGGAGAAUGUUAUCACGGGAGACACACGGCGGGUGCUAACGUCCGUCGUGAAGAGGGAAACAACCCAGACCGCCAGCUAAGGUCCCAAAGUCAUGGUUAAGUGGGAAACGAUGUGGGAAGGCCCAGACAGCCAGGAUGUUGGCUUAGAAGCAGCCAUCAUUUAAAGAAAGCGUAAUAGCUCACUGGUCGAGUCGGCCUGCGCGGAAGAUGUAACGGGGCUAAACCAUGCACCGAAGCUGCGGCAGCGACGCUGAUGCGUUGUUGGGUAGGGGAGCGUUCUGUAAGCCUGCGAAGGUGGCCUGUGAGGGUUGCUGGAGGUAUCAGAAGUGCGAAUGCUGACAUAAGUAACGAUAAAGCGGGUGAAAAGCCCGCUCGCCGGAAGACCAAGGGUUCCUGUCCAACGUUAAUCGGGGCAGGGUGAGUCGACCCCUAAGGCGAGGCCGAAAGGCGUAGUCGAUGGGAAACGGGUUAAUAUUCCCGUACUUGGUGUUACUGCGAAGGGGGGACGGAGAAGGCUAUGUUGGCCGGGCGACGGUUGUCCCGGUUUAAGCGUGUAGGUGUGUGUUCCAGGUAAAUCCGGUUCACUUUAACACUGAGGCGUGAUGACGAGGCACUACGGUGCUGAAGCAACAAAUGCCCUGCUUCCAGGAAAAGCCUCUAAGCAUCAGGUAACAUCAAAUCGUACCCCAAACCGACACAGGUGGUCAGGUAGAGAAUACCAAGGCGCUUGAGAGAACUCGGGUGAAGGAACUAGGCAAAAUGGUGCCGUAACUUCGGGAGAAGGCACGCUGACACGUAGGUGAAGUGAUUUACUCAUGGAGCUGAAGUCAGUCGAAGAUACCAGCUGGCUGCAACUGUUUAUUAAAAACACAGCACUGUGCAAACACGAAAGUGGACGUAUACGGUGUGACGCCUGCCCGGUGCCGGAAGGUUAAUUGAUGGGGUCAGCGCAAGCGAAGCUCCUGAUCGAAGCCCCGGUAAACGGCGGCCGUAACUAUAACGGUCCUAAGGUAGCGAAAUUCCUUGUCGGGUAAGUUCCGACCUGCACGAAUGGCGUAAUGAUGGCCAGGCUGUCUCCACCCGAGACUCAGUGAAAUUGAACUCGCUGUGAAGAUGCAGUGUACCCGCGGCAAGACGGAAAGACCCCGUGAACCUUUACUAUAGCUUGACACUGAACAUUGAGCCUUGAUGUGUAGGAUAGGUGGGAGGCUUUGAAGUGUGGACGCCAGUCUGCAUGGAGCCGACCUUGAAAUACCACCCUUUAAUGUUUGAUGUUCUAACGUGGACCCGUGAUCCGGGUUGCGGACAGUGUCUGGUGGGUAGUUUGACUGGGGCGGUCUCCUCCUAAAGAGUAACGGAGGAGCACGAAGGUUGGCUAAUCCUGGUCGGACAUCAGGAGGUUAGUGCAAUGGCAUAAGCCAGCUUGACUGCGAGCGUGACGGCGCGAGCAGGUGCGAAAGCAGGUCAUAGUGAUCCGGUGGUUCUGAAUGGAAGGGCCAUCGCUCAACGGAUAAAAGGUACUCCGGGGAUAACAGGCUGAUACCGCCCAAGAGUUCAUAUCGACGGCGGUGUUUGGCACCUCGAUGUCGGCUCAUCACAUCCUGGGGCUGAAGUAGGUCCCAAGGGUAUGGCUGUUCGCCAUUUAAAGUGGUACGCGAGCUGGGUUUAGAACGUCGUGAGACAGUUCGGUCCCUAUCUGCCGUGGGCGCUGGAGAACUGAGGGGGGCUGCUCCUAGUACGAGAGGACCGGAGUGGACGCAUCACUGGUGUUCGGGUUGUCAUGCCAAUGGCACUGCCCGGUAGCUAAAUGCGGAAGAGAUAAGUGCUGAAAGCAUCUAAGCACGAAACUUGCCCCGA